CCGUCAAUUCCUUUGAGUUUCAGCCUUGCGGCCGUACUCCCCAGGUGGAACACUUAAUGCUUUUGCUUAGCCGCUGACUGUGUAUCGCCAACAGCGAGUGAUCAUCGUUUACGGCGUGGACUACCAGGGUAUCUAAUCCUGUUCGAUCCCCACGCUUUCGUGCAUCAGCGUCAGUAUUGGCCCAGCAAGCUGCCUUCGCAAUCGGUGUUCUGUGUAAUAUCUAAGCAUUUCACCGCUACAUUACACAUUCCGCCUACCUUGACCAUACUCAAGACUAACAGUAUCAACGGCACAUCUACAGUUAAGCUGCAGGGUUUCACCACUGACUUAUUUGUCCGCCUACGCACCCUUUAAACCCAAUAAAUCCGGAUAACGCUCGCAUCCUCCGUAUUACCGCGGCUGCUUGGCACGGAGUUAGCCGAUGCUUAUUCCCAGGGUACCGUCAAACCCUGACACGUCAAGGCUGUUCGCCCCCUGGAAAAGCAGUUUACAACCCAUAGGGCCGUCUUCCUGCACGCGGGAUGGCUGGUUCAGGCUUCCGCCCAUUGACCGAUAUUCCUCACUGCUGCCUCCCG
This 575-nucleotide ribosomal RNA is filed under the name uncultured bacterium. RNAcentral's name for it is "partial 16S ribosomal RNA". The record is from RNAcentral.